UAGUGAGUGGGUGGGCGGGUGGGUGGGAGCAGUCAUCUUGCAUAGGAUGUCGGCAAUCUCAGAAACCUCUGGGAGUCUGCUUUUCAUGUAGCAAACAACCUAGUAAGAAAAACUAGCUUUGGAGCCAGCCCCGGCUGGAAAAAAUGAAGCUAAAUGAAACUCUCUCCACAAUAUUGGGCUAAAACCUUUUGAUGUUUCUUGCUGAGCCUACCUGGCUAAUGCCAUCAGUGAAAGACAAAUCAGAACAGAUGAAGAAUGUGACUUUCAGGGGAUGAAUGGAAGCGCCUCCUCUGGCUCAUGCUGGUGGGAGAAAAUGAACCAGCCCUGCUUUCUCUCCCUGGUUCAAUUCCCAGCAAAGGAAAAACAAUGUAAUUCAUGAUGAUGAUGACAAUGACAAUGACGACAACAACAAUAACCAACCUUUAACACAUCCUUAUAAUGUGCCAGACCCUGCGGUAGGUGCAUUAGAAUAAUUACCUCAUUUAAUUAUUGUAACAUAGUUUGGUUAAUUUGCCCCCAUUUUUCAUAUGAGCAAACUGAGGCAUGGAGAGGCUAGGCAGCUUGCCCAAGAAUAAGAGGCUGUGCUGGCUUGAAAGUGAGGCAUUCAGACAUUAGUGUCACAUGCUCUUAAUCGCUCCACAGCACCAUCUCCUUGGAUCGGAGUGAUUUCCUGGAGCAAAGGUAAUCUGAUCUUAUUCACACAGGAGCAGGCAAUAACUGCCUGAGUACAGAACUCCUAUGAGGCGAUUGGUGUUGGAACCCUGAGUAGUCUAGUUACAUAACCAGCAUAACCCUUGGAAAAGCUGUCGCAUAAGGGAAGGCUGCCUCUGGGACUAGAAGAAAGACUAUGCCAAGAUCUGGUUCUGCAAUAGAUGAGCUGUUUGACCUUGGGCUCAACGCUUCACAUUUAGGCUCUGAUUUUCAAAGGAAGUUCUUGGGCUGGGUAAUCUCUGGAGAUCCUGUCAUGUAAGCAGCCCCUGCCAGCACUCCUACUGGGGAGUGAUUACCAUAAAGACAAGGAAAGUGUUAAGCAGGUUCUUGCACCUCCCAAAGUAAGUAGCAAAUAGCUGUUUGGGUGUCCUGAGGAGUUCUGAAAACACUGGGCCUAGUUGCCUCCUGCUUCAUCUUGCACCAUAUGCCUGAAGCUAGUGAAUGAAUAAACAUCACUCGUGGCUAUUUCUGGAUGCUCAAGAAACUUUGAAAAAAAAAAAAGAAUUAUUAUUUUUGAGGAGAGUAUUAUAGAAGACCCAGGGGAAGACAGGGUAGGGAGGAGAGUGAGGAUUCUCUUUGUUGUGAUCCUAGAAUUCCCAUUAGGUGGACUGGAAAUGCUAGACUUACCAUUGUUGGACUGGAAAUGCUAACAUCCUGAAACUCUUAGGACCUCUGCAUGAAGAAUUGUCCUGCCCCAAAUGCUCUUAGCACCCCCACUGAGAAGGAGUAAAAGAGUUUCUCACAGUGGAAACACUGCGAACCUCUUUAUGCAUUUUUCUGAACAUCAGUCAAUAAUCCAUUAACUCGGGGAAGCUGAAUGCUCUUCAUACAGGAAUCCAAAAUAAAUUGACAGAUAUCCUCUGGGAAGAACUGUAGAAAGGCUCUGUGGGCUUGAACAAGGCAUUUCAUUUCCUUGGGCCUCAGUUUCUUUAUCUUUAUAGCACUAACAUUCUAUAGCUUCCUAAUUUCUCUCCCCAGAAAGGAGAAAUAAUUUUUAAACACAGAGGCUUAGAAAGAGUUUGUUUUCCAAUUCGGGGCAUGCUAGGUACAUGUACUGCAGUUAACCAAAAUGCACAUGGUAAAGUUUAAGCCAAAAGAAUGCAGAAUCAGGCCGGGCAUGGUGGCUCAUGCCUGUAAUCCCAG
Molecule: long non-coding RNA, 1854 nt
Filed under: Homo sapiens (human)
Lineage: Eukaryota; Metazoa; Chordata; Mammalia; Primates; Hominidae
Description: HSALNT0166492
Source: RNAcentral